This 531-nucleotide long non-coding RNA is filed under the name Marmota monax (woodchuck). Lineage: Eukaryota; Metazoa; Chordata; Mammalia; Rodentia; Sciuridae. The record is from RNAcentral.
UCCUUUCUUCCUGGUGACCACCUUCAGGGGUAUGGGCUAUCUUCAGCGCUCCAGUUAGCAGAUGAAGAAACCGAGGUUCUGAGAGGUUCUCAGUCACACUGCUAGAAAGAGGCUGCCCUUGAAUGGAAGCUCAGCUCUACCUGUCUGACCGCUAAAUUGAGGCUGCGUGUUCCUCCGCGGGGCUCAAGACCAUCCUCCAGCGCAUCUACCUAGCCUCGGCCUUGCCUCACACCCAGCCUCCUCCAGCUUCUCCAUCUCCUGAGAGCUGCUCCAGCCUCCCCACUCGCUCCUCACUUGGCUUCCUCUUUGGAAACCAGCCACAGGUUUUUUUCUUCCAUGUGAGGGAGAAAAAAUGGUCUCGUUCCCCACCCCCAGGUCUUCCCAUCCUCUCAUCCAUCCAAACCUAAGCAUCUUUCUCUCUCUUCCCCCCUCCCUGCUCUCAUCUUGUUUUUUUUUUCUUUCUGUUUAUCCAUCACUAGAAUCCACCACCCCCUUCCCUCUUGCCUGUAGGUUCUGUGGCUAUAAUCAAAU